Molecule: small nucleolar RNA, 131 nt
Organism: Meriones unguiculatus (Mongolian gerbil)
Lineage: Eukaryota; Metazoa; Chordata; Mammalia; Rodentia; Muridae
Source: Ensembl
CCUGCCGCUAGAGGCGUUGCAGGUGAGGCUACGAUGUCACAUGCGUGUCAGCAGCUGGCAGAGAGGAGGGCAGCCAUAUCUACCCUCAGUGUUUUGCCCUAUGAACAUCUGAGAAAAGCGAGCCUGAGAUG